Molecule: ribosomal RNA, 322 nt
Filed under: uncultured eukaryote
Lineage: Eukaryota
Description: partial 18S ribosomal RNA
Rfam family: Eukaryotic small subunit ribosomal RNA
Source: RNAcentral
CCCUUAGAUGUUCUGGGCCGCACGCGUGCUACACUGAACGGUUCAAUGGGUGAGGUAGUGCGAAAGCAUGACCCAAUCUCAAAAUCCGUUCGUGCUGGGGAUAGAAGCUUGCAAUUCCCCUUCUUGAACGAGGAAUACCUUGUAAGCGCGAGUCAUCAUCUCGCGCUGAAUACGUCCCUGCCCUUUGUACACACCGCCCGUCGCUCCUACCGAUUGAGUGGUCCGGUGAGGCUUCGGGAGAGCUAAAUGGAUUGUGUUUCACAAACUAUUUGGCUUGAACUUAGUCAAACCUUACUACUUAGAGGAAGGAGAAGUCGUAACA